CGCCCUGGAGGUUGAUCUCAACAUUAGCCAACCAUUAACGUUUUGUGAGCUUGUAGGGACCCAGAAUUAACCAAUUUCAUCAGUCUGUGUUUCAUUAGCUUUUUAUAAAAACCAUAACAAGAACAUUAUUAACCCUCUAAAACACAGAGCAGCGGCAGUUUUCUUUCUUUUCUUGCAAUUUAGGGUGCUAACGUUAGCUAACUACUCUGCGUCCUGCUAGCUGACUUAACGGCUAAUUAGUAGCUUUUUGAUAGCUUAUUAGCAUGCUAAUUAGUUAGCCCAGAAACACCGGCUGUUUGAACCAUGUUUGAUUAACCCGGUGCUUCAGAGUUGAGCUUCAAUGCACUGAAAAUGAUUAAAAAAAAAAAUGAAGUUGAAGUUGUCACCUCAUCUGCAGCCUGCCUCUUGUCCUCCCACCAACAAUGACUGCAGCGCCAUCUUGUGAAAGAAUGAAGAAACUGCUGCCUACAGAACAGGUGCAUACUGAGCAGGUGGGCCCUUACGUAGGAGCCUCGAGUGUUUGGAGCUGGAGUAAACCAUACCUCACACUAUUUUAAGAGCUGAGAGAGAUGCCAGACAAAUGGAAAGAGAAACAACAGAAAACCUGUGUGGGGGAUCGGUGGCGAGACUUGGAAGGAGCAGCAGCGAGAGAGAGGAACAACCGAUGUGACAGAAAAGAGCAAGGGAUAUGAAGUGUCAAUGGACGACAACUGGGAAGAAGAGGAACAUCAUAAGACCACCUGAAGAAACACCUUCUCUCAUCUCUUCUACCAUGAGCUGCUGUGUUUCAUGUUGAAUAUUGAAAACAUGCAAAGUAUUUUUAAAUGAGGGACUCCUUAGUUAAAAAAAAAACAAAGAAAAGAAAAAGUUAUGAGGCAAAGAAAAGAGGGGUUGCCAAAGACCCAAAGUCAAUAUUUCCAAAGAAAAUUCUUCACAGUAUGGAUUGGAAUAAUCUUCUGUGCUCUUCUGUUAAUGUAUUUGUCACAUAAUUCAGUUCCUCUAAUUUGUACAUUAUAAAAAGAGCGCAAUAAUAAAUAUAUAUGUACGAUUAUGAUUUUUCUGUAUAGAGGAUCCCCGUCAGGAUGCUGUUGAUGGUGUAAGACUAGAAAUUCCUCAGUAUUGGAGGGGGUAUCUGGAUAUUGCUGGAGUUUCUUGAAGCAUCUGAGGUGGAUGCAACACCCAGGUCAGGCUGCCAGUGAUGUGGACACCACGGUACUUGAAGCUAUCAACCCUCUACACUGAGGACCUGCUGACAUUAAGGACCCUGCCUCUUCCAAAAGUCAACUAUCAGCUCCUGACUGUGCAAUAAAAUAUGUAUUUUA
Molecule: long non-coding RNA, 1322 nt
Organism: Epinephelus lanceolatus (giant grouper)
Lineage: Eukaryota; Metazoa; Chordata; Actinopteri; Perciformes; Serranidae
Source: RefSeq, a predicted model, not a curated record